GGCGAUCUCCAGGCGCGGUGGGCGCUUGUGAACCGGGUCAGGCCUUAACCGGAGCAGCCCUAAGCAACGUGUCUCAGGUGCGCCUGGGGUCGCCUUU
Molecule: signal recognition particle RNA, 97 nt
Filed under: Planctomycetaceae bacterium
Lineage: Bacteria; Pseudomonadati; Planctomycetota; Planctomycetia; Planctomycetales; Planctomycetaceae
Also listed under: 1 other name
Description: signal recognition particle sRNA small type
Rfam family: Bacterial small signal recognition particle RNA
About the family: The signal recognition particle (SRP) is a universally conserved ribonucleoprotein involved in the co-translational targeting of proteins to membranes.
Source: RNAcentral